RNAcentral lists this ribosomal RNA (1015 nucleotides) under uncultured bacterium. Its description in RNAcentral is "bacterial SSU rRNA". It matches the Rfam family "Bacterial small subunit ribosomal RNA", at positions 491 to 1501 of the family's 1533-position model. The record is from RNAcentral.
CACCGGCUAAACUACGUGCCAGCAGCCGCGGUAAUACGUAGGGUGCGAGCGUUAAUCGGGAAUUACUGGGCGUAAAGCGUGCGCAGGCGGUUUCGUAAGACAGAUGUGAAAUCCCCGGGCUUAACCUGGGAACUGCGUUUGUGACUGCGAGACUUGAGUACGGCAGAGGGGGGUGGAAUUUCCACGUGUAGCAGUGAAAUGCGUAGAGAUGUGGAGGAACACCGAUGGCGAAGGCAGCCCCCUGGGCUAGUACUGACGCUCAUGCACGAAAGCGUGGGUAGCAAACAGGAUUAGAUACCCUGGUAGUCCACGCCCUAAACGAUGCCAACUAGGUGUUGGAGAAGGAGACUUCUUUAGUACCGAAGCUAACGCGUGAAGUUGGCCGCCUGGGGAGUACGGUCGCAAGAUUAAAACUCAAAGGAAUUGACGGGGACCCGCACAAGCGGUGGAUGAUGUGGAUUAAUUCGAUGCAACGCGAAAAACCUUACCUACCCUUGACAUGUCAGGGAUCCUGCUGAGAGGUGGGAGUGCCCGAAAGGGAACCUGAACACAGGUGCUGCAUGGCUGUCGUCAGCUCGUGUCGUGAGAUGUUGGGUUAAGUCCCGCAACGAGCGCAACCCUUGUCAAUAGUUGCCAUCAUUCAGUUGGGCACUCUAUUGAGACUGCCGGUGACAAACCGGAGGAAGGUGGGGAUGACGUCAAGUCCUCAUGGCCCUUAUGGGUAGGGCUUCACACGUCAUACAAUGGUCGGUACAGAGGGUUGCCAAGCCGCGAGGUGGAGCCAAUCCCAGAAAGCCGAUCGUAGUCCGGAUCGGAGUCUGCAACUCGACUCCGUGAAGUCGGAAUCGCUAGUAAUCGUGGAUCAGCAUGCCACGGUGAAUACGUUCCCGGGUCUUGUACACACCGCCCGUCACACCAUGGGAGUGGGUUUCACCAGAAGUAGGUAGCCUAACCGCAAGGAGGGCGCUUACCACGGUGGGAUUCAUGACUGGGGUGAAGUCGUAACAAGGUAGCC